UACAGUCAUAUCACGUUGAAACACGGGUUCUCCUACGAUCACCAAAGUGAAGCAACAUCGAGCCUGGUCAGUACCUAGAUAGGUGACCGCUUGAGAAUACCACGUGAU
Non-coding RNA from Acanthosepion pharaonis, 108 nucleotides. NCBI's taxonomy places the organism in Eukaryota, Metazoa, Mollusca, Cephalopoda, Sepiida, Sepiidae. The record is from the annotation of a GenBank genome assembly.